UAGUAGUAGUGUGAAGACCAUUGAUGUCUC
Molecule: non-coding RNA, 30 nt
Filed under: Rattus norvegicus (Norway rat)
Lineage: Eukaryota; Metazoa; Chordata; Mammalia; Rodentia; Muridae
Source: RNAcentral